RNAcentral lists this small nuclear RNA (299 nucleotides) under Myotis lucifugus (little brown bat). Its description in RNAcentral is "7SK RNA". It matches the Rfam family "7SK RNA". Rfam says of the family: 7SK was discovered as an abundant small nuclear RNA in the mid-70s but a possible function has only recently been suggested. Two independent studies have found that 7SK RNA binds the CDK9/cyclin T complex (known as elongation factor P-TEFb). P-TEFb activates transcription by phosphorylating the C-terminal domain of RNA polymerase II. Lineage: Eukaryota; Metazoa; Chordata; Mammalia; Chiroptera; Vespertilionidae. The record is from Rfam by way of RNAcentral.
GGAUGUGAGGGCGAUCUGGCUGCGACAUCUGUCACCCCAUUGAUCGCCAGGGUUGAUUUGGCUGAUCUGGCUGGCUAGGCGGGUGUCCCCCUCCUCCCUCACCGAUCCUUGUGCGUCCCUCCCGAAGCUGCAUGCUCGGUCGAAGAGGACGACCUUCCCCCCCGAAGAGAGGACCGGUCUUAGGUCAAGGGUAUACGAGUAGCUGCGCUCCCCUGCUAGAACCUCCAAACAAGCUCUCAAAGAUAUGAAAAAGGACUAAUUAGAAAUUAAGCAUACACUGACUGAAUAAAGAAUAAUAU